AGCGAACGCUGGCGGCAGGCCUAACACAUGCAAGUCGAACGAACCUUUCGGGGUUGGUGGCGGACGGGUGAGUAACACGUGGGAACGUGCCUUUAGGUUCGGAAUAACUCAGGGAAACUUGUGCUAAUACCGAAUGUGCCCUUCGGGGGAAAGAUUUAUCGCCUUUAGAGCGGCCCGCGUCGGAUUAGCCAGUUGGUUGAGGUAAUGGAGCACCAAGGCGACGGUCAGUAGCUGGUCUGAGAGGAUGAUCAGCCACAUUGGGACUGAGACACGGCCCAAACUCCUACGGGAGGCAGCAGUGGGGAAUCUUGCGCAAUGGGCGAAAGCCUGACGCAGCCAUGCCGCGUGAAUGAUGAAGUUCUUAGGAUUGUAAAAUUCUUUCACCGGGGACGAUAAUGACGGUACCCGGAGAAGAAGCCCCGGCUAACUUCGUG
RNAcentral lists this ribosomal RNA (434 nucleotides) under uncultured bacterium. Its description in RNAcentral is "partial 16S ribosomal RNA". It matches the Rfam family "Bacterial small subunit ribosomal RNA", at positions 29 to 507 of the family's 1533-position model. The record is from RNAcentral.